Molecule: ribosomal RNA, 253 nt
Filed under: uncultured bacterium
Lineage: Bacteria
Description: partial 16S ribosomal RNA
Rfam family: Bacterial small subunit ribosomal RNA
Source: RNAcentral
UACGGAGGAUCCAAGCGUUAUCCGGAUUUAUUGGGUUUAAAGGGUGCGUAGGCGGCCUAUUAAGUCAGGGGUGAAAGACGGUAGCUUAACUAUCGCAGUGCCUUUGAUACUGAUGGGCUUGAAUGUACUUGAGGUAGGCGGAAUGUGACAAGUAGCGGUGAAAUGCAUAGAUAUGUCACAGAACACCAAUUGCGAAGGCAGCUUACUAAAGUAUGAUUGACGCUGAGGCACGAAAGCGUGGGGAGCAAACAGG